Molecule: ribosomal RNA, 1372 nt
Filed under: uncultured bacterium
Lineage: Bacteria
Description: bacterial SSU rRNA
Rfam family: Bacterial small subunit ribosomal RNA
Source: RNAcentral
GAUGAACGCUGGCGGCGUGCCUAAUACAUGCAAGUCGAGCGAACGGACGAGAAGCUUGCUUCUCUGAUGUUAGCGGCGGACGGGUGAGUAACACGUGGAUAACCUACCUAUAAGACUGGGAUAACUUCGGGAAACCGGAGCUAAUACCGGAUAAUAUUUUGAACCGCAUGGUUCAAAAGUGAAAGACGGUCUUGCUGUCACUUAUAGAUGGAUCCGCGCUGCAUUAGCUAGUUGGUAAGGUAACGGCUUACCAAGGCAACGAUGCAUAGCCGACCUGAGAGGGUGAUCGGCCACACUGGAACUGAGACACGGUCCAGACUCCUACGGGAGGCAGCAGUAGGGAAUCUUCCGCAAUGGGCGAAAGCCUGACGGAGCAACGCCGCGUGAGUGAUGAAGGUCUUCGGAUCGUAAAACUCUGUUAUUAGGGAAGAACAUAUGUGUAAGUAACUGUGCACAUCUUGACGGUACCUAAUCAGAAAGCCACGGCUAACUACGUGCCAGCAGCCGCGGUAAUACGUAGGUGGCAAGCGUUAUCCGGAAUUAUUGGGCGUAAAGCGCGCGUAGGCGGUUUUUUAAGUCUGAUGUGAAAGCCCACGGCUCAACCGUGGAGGGUCAUUGGAAACUGGAAAACUUGAGUGCAGAAGAGGAAAGUGGAAUUCCGUGUGUAGCGGUGAAAUGCGCAGAGAUAUGGAGGAACACCAGUGGCGAAGGCGACUUUCUGGUCUGUAACUGACGCUGAUGUGCGAAAGCGUGGGGAUCAAACAGGAUUAGAUACCCUGGUAGUCCACGCCGUAAACGAUGAGUGCUAAGUGUUAGGGGGUUUCCGCCCCUUAGUGCUGCAGCUAACGCAUUAAGCACUCCGCCUGGGGAGUACGACCGCAAGGUUGAAACUCAAAGGAAUUGACGGGGACCCGCACAAGCGGUGGAGCAUGUGGUUUAAUUCGAAGCAACGCGAAGAACCUUACCAAAUCUUGACAUCCUUUGACAACUCUAGAGAUAGAGCUUUCCCCUUCGGGGGACAAAGUGACAGGUGGUGCAUGGUUGUCGUCAGCUCGUGUCGUGAGAUGUUGGGUUAAGUCCCGCAACGAGCGCAACCCUUAAGCUUAGUUGCUAUCAUUAAGUUGGGCACUCUAAGUUGACUGCCGGUGACAAACCGGAGGAAGGUGGGGAUGACGUCAAAUCAUCAUGCCCCUUAUGAUUUGGGCUACACACGUGCUACAAUGGACAAUACAAAGGGCAGCGAAACCGCGAGGUCAAGCAAAUCCCAUAAAGUUGUUCUCAGUUCGGAUUGUAGUCUGCAACUCGACUACAUGAAGCUGGAAUCGCUAGUAAUCGUAGAUCAGCAUGCUACGGUGAAUACGUUCCCGGGUCU